Long non-coding RNA from Cavia porcellus (domestic guinea pig), 497 nucleotides. RefSeq lists it as uncharacterized. The transcript is spliced from 2 exons. NCBI's taxonomy places the organism in Eukaryota, Metazoa, Chordata, Mammalia, Rodentia, Caviidae. The record is from RefSeq and is a predicted model, not a curated record.
CAGAGAGGUUUCCUCAAUCUUGCAGAGAAAAUGCACAGGAAAGACAGAGGCAUCACAGAGCUGGGGACUAAGGCAGCCAGUUGGGUCUAAAACAAAUCUCAAGAUCCUAUUCAGAUUGAAGAAGGAAUCAAACAGGGCUAUGUGAAUGGCAACUGGAGGCAACCUUGUCCUCAGACUCCUGUACCUGCUGAUGACAUCUGGGACCUGUCUCACUUUAUCACAAGGCCAUGGCCAUCUGGAGCACUGUUUGUUUCAGCGAUUAGCUGUGACUUAGCUGGAGUUGGCUUUAAUCUCUGUGGUUCUGUCGACAGCAGAGAGGUGGUUUGUGAAGGGAGCUCUGGAAUCAGAUGUAGAUUCAAGACCUGGAAAGAUACUGCUGUGGGACUACCUUGCAGCUAUAACCUAGGAAGAUCACUAUAUAAAUAUUUUUAGAAGGAUCAAAAGAGUUGAAAAUUAUAUGCCAGACACAGAAUAAACAAACUAUUUGUGGGCCCUCA